AUAACUGCAGCACAUAUAUACUAAAAUUGGAACGAUACCGACAAGAUUAGAAUGGACUUUGUACAAGGGUGACAUGUAAAUUUGUGAAGUGUUCCAUAAAAAA
Small nuclear RNA from Carcharodon carcharias (great white shark), 103 nucleotides. Lineage: Eukaryota; Metazoa; Chordata; Chondrichthyes; Lamniformes; Lamnidae. The record is from RefSeq and is a predicted model, not a curated record.